GAGACCCACGCCAACAGUUGCCAGCUCGUCCUCCGGGAUGGAGGGGACACUGUUGGGACCGCCUCUGCUAAAGAGGAGGAAGGAAUGGGCAACGGUAGGUCAGCAUGCCCCGAAUUAUCCGGGCUACACGCGGGCUACAAUGGUCAGGACAAUGGGUAUCGACACCGAGAGGUGAAGGCAAUCUCUUAAACCUGUCCUUAGUUCGGAUUGUGGGCUGCAACUCGCCCACAUGAAGCUGGAAUCUGUAGUAAUCGUGUCUCAACAUGGCACGGUGAAUAU
RNAcentral lists this ribosomal RNA (279 nucleotides) under uncultured archaeon. RNAcentral's name for it is "partial 16S rRNA". It matches the Rfam family "Archaeal small subunit ribosomal RNA", at positions 1047 to 1325 of the family's 1478-position model. The record is from RNAcentral.